RNAcentral lists this ribosomal RNA (497 nucleotides) under uncultured bacterium. RNAcentral describes it as "partial 16S ribosomal RNA". It matches the Rfam family "Bacterial small subunit ribosomal RNA", at positions 28 to 507 of the family's 1533-position model. The record is from RNAcentral.
GAUGAACGCUGGCGGCGUGCCUAAUACAUGCCAGUCGAGCGAACAGAUGAGGAGCUUGCUCCUCUGACGUUAGCGGCGGACGGGUGAGUAACACGUGGAUAACCUACCUAUAAGACUGGGAUAACUUCGGGAAACCGGAGCUAAUACCGGAUAAUAUAUUGAACCGCAUGGUUCAAUAGUGAAAGACGGUUUUGCUGUCACUUAUCGAUGGAUCCGCGCCGCAUUAGCUAGUUGGUAAGGUAACGGCUUACCAAGGCAACGAUGCGUAGCCGACCUGAGAGGGUGAUCGGCCACACUGGAACUGAGACACGGUCCAGACUCCUACGGGAGGCAGCAGUAGGGAAUCUUCCGCAAUGGGCGAAAGCCUGACGGAGCAACGCCGCGUGAGUGAUGAAGGUCUUCGGAUCGUAAAACUCUGUUAUUAGGGAAGAACAAAUGUGUAAGUAACUAUGCACGUCUUGACGGUACCUAAUCAGAAAGCCACGGCUAACUACGUG